RNAcentral lists this ribosomal RNA (736 nucleotides) under uncultured Pseudomonas sp. Its description in RNAcentral is "bacterial SSU rRNA". It matches the Rfam family "Bacterial small subunit ribosomal RNA", at positions 8 to 739 of the family's 1533-position model. The record is from RNAcentral. Lineage: Bacteria; Pseudomonadati; Pseudomonadota; Gammaproteobacteria; Pseudomonadales; Pseudomonadaceae.
AGAGUUUGAUCAUGGCUCAGAUUGAACGCUGGCGGCAGGCCUAACACAUGCAAGUCGAGCGGUAGAGAGAAGCUUGCUUCUCUUGAGAGCGGCGGACGGGUGAGUAAUGCCUAGGAAUCUGCCUGGUAGUGGGGGAUAACGUUCGGAAACGGACGCUAAUACCGCAUACGUCCUACGGGAGAAAGCAGGGGACCUUCGGGCCUUGCGCUAUCAGAUGAGCCUAGGUCGGAUUAGCUAGUUGGUGAGGUAAUGGCUCACCAAGGCUACGAUCCGUAACUGGUCUGAGAGGAUGAUCAGUCACACUGGAACUGAGACACGGUCCAGACUCCUACGGGAGGCAGCAGUGGGGAAUAUUGGACAAUGGGCGAAAGCCUGAUCCAGCCAUGCCGCGUGUGUGAAGAAGGUCUUCGGAUUGUAAAGCACUUUAAGUUGGGAGGAAGGGCAUUAACCUAAUACGUUAGUGUUUUGACGUUACCGACAGAAUAAGCACCGGCUAACUCUGUGCCAGCAGCCGCGGUAAUACAGAGGGUGCAAGCGUUAAUCGGAAUUACUGGGCGUAAAGCGCGCGUAGGUGGUUUGUUAAGUUGAAUGUGAAAUCCCCGGGCUCAACCUGGGAACUGCAUCCAAAACUGGCAAGCUAGAGUAUGGUAGAGGGUAGUGGAAUUUCCUGUGUAGCGGUGAAAUGCGUAGAUAUAGGAAGGAACACCAGUGGCGAAGGCGACUACCUGGACUGAUA